This 253-nucleotide ribosomal RNA is filed under the name uncultured bacterium. RNAcentral describes it as "partial 16S ribosomal RNA". It matches the Rfam family "Bacterial small subunit ribosomal RNA", at positions 524 to 776 of the family's 1533-position model. The record is from RNAcentral.
GACGGAGGAUGCAAGCGUUAUCCGGAAUUAUUGGGCGUAAAGCGUACGUAGGCGGCUUAUCAAGUCUGGGGUCAAAGACCACAGCUUAACUGUGGAAAGGCCUUGGAAACUAGUGAGCUGGAGUGAGGUAGGGGUUGCGGGAAUUCCCGGUGUAGCGGUGAAAUGCGUAGAUAUCGGGAAGAACACCUGAGGCGAAAGCGCGCGACUGGGCCUUAACUGACGCUGAGGCGCGAAAGCUAGGGGAGCAAACGGG